This 385-nucleotide long non-coding RNA is filed under the name Lathyrus oleraceus (garden pea). RNAcentral's name for it is "Pisum sativum (pea) long non-coding RNA (PSAT_LNC017871)". The record is from RNAcentral. Lineage: Eukaryota; Viridiplantae; Streptophyta; Magnoliopsida; Fabales; Fabaceae.
AAAAAUGGAAGGAUUUAGACGAGGUAAGGGUACACCAGAUUUAGUUCUAGUAGUCAUAGGAUGAGUAUUGGUGGGGAGAGGCUGAAGGUUAGGAUCCCUAGGAGCAGAAAUAGAGGAGGAGGAUGGUGAAGUGGUAGUAGUGGGCUGAUUGUUGGCAUUUGAAGAGGGUGAAGGAGUAUGAUUAGUGCUAGCUGUUUGUGUUAUAGGGUUGGCUGACACAGAGGCAGUAGGUGUGUGGCUGGAAUUGAAUUGAGAAGAAGAAGAGGAGUGUGAGGUAGUGGAAGCAGUAGGAAUGGGAAAAACAUUAGGGAGAGCUUGUGUGUUAAGGGUUACUUUAGAUGAAGAAGAGGAUGGAAUGGUUGAUGAGGGGAGAGAAACAUUAGGA